UAAGAAAAAACAUUUUUCCUGAAGUAAAAUUUUUCAUUUUCCCCCCUUUUUCCCUUAUUCUCCCGCGUGGAAUUACAUUUGGCAUGCAACUUUCAAUAGCGGGAAGGAUCAUACUUCAUUCAAUGACUCCUUUAGAUAUCUGCAACAGUCGAUGGAGAAUCAAUGGGAGAGGAAGGUUUGUGAAGGAAGGGGCAGUCACGCUGCAAGACUCGAGAAGGUACCAAUUUUGCCACAUACUCUCAUCAUUGAAUGACUCCUUUAGAUAUAUGCAACAGUCGAUGGAGAAUCAAUGGGAGAGGAAGGUUUGUGAAGGAAGGGGCAGUCACGCUGCAAGACUCGAGAAGAACCAUGCACAUGGGAUCCAACGGGUAUUCUCCCAAUCUUGUUUAUCACGACCUUUCCUCGAGUGUGAAAUUUCAUCAAUAAUAGCCACUCAUCAAGGACACGUUGUUGGUCUCUCGAAUGGUCUUGAAAAUCUAGAUUGGAGUAAAAUAUUUCAAGUUGCAGUUGAUAGUGCCACGAGGUAUAGUAAACACAAUGGAUCUGCCAAAGAAAUUGCUUCCACGUAUAGAAAGUCAUAUGGGAAUGAAAAGAUUGUGCUUUGGCUCCUAUUCUUAUCAGCAGCCGUAGGAGAUUAUUUCUAGUCGUUUAAAUGGAAUUUAGGCAUUUGAAAAACAAGUUGUUGAGUUUGUUUUACGAAAGGUUGCAAUAGUUUUUGGAGAUGCUCGUUGAGCAUUGGAGCUAUGUAGACGUGUUGUAGAGCUUGCAAAAUUCAAAGUCCAACAGUUGGAUGCUCCUCAAUUUGCUAUCUCGUUGCAGAUUAUCUCUUCCUUUGUGGAUGUUGGGGAUCCUCCUCUUGUGAGCUCGAGCUCUUGGUUUUUGGCUUCUUGACUGUUGGGUUGAUUGGGUCUUUGUUUUGGGUUGCAUCUACAUGGUUGAUGCUUUUUGUUCUCAACUAUUACUUGUAUCGGGGUUGGUAAUGAUCUUCAUGUAUUCGACUUCUAUAUAUAUUGGGGGAUUUUUUGUA
Molecule: RNA transcript, 1027 nt
Organism: Cryptomeria japonica (Japanese cedar)
Lineage: Eukaryota; Viridiplantae; Streptophyta; Pinopsida; Cupressales; Cupressaceae
Exons: 5
Source: RefSeq, a predicted model, not a curated record